RNAcentral lists this ribosomal RNA (702 nucleotides) under Triticum aestivum (bread wheat). RNAcentral describes it as "partial small subunit ribosomal RNA". The record is from RNAcentral. Lineage: Eukaryota; Viridiplantae; Streptophyta; Magnoliopsida; Poales; Poaceae.
AUGAUCAAAGAGAGUAACCGAGAAAAUGUAAAAAAAGCCAUAAGUAGUGGACGAAUUGGUACUGGCACAGAGCUAAAUCAAGACCAGUCACUUCAAAGGGCGGGAGACACCUGUUGGGGUUCUCACUAUAGAACCCUCUCAAGCUUAAUCAGGUUGUUCCCAUCAAUUGUUAGUGUCCUGAAUUAUGUAGCAAAAGAAGGCAAGAAGGAUUCCAAGAAAAGUGAAGCGCGGGGCCUUCUAUCAUAUUUUGGAACCUUUGAUUUUGUGUUCUAUUUGCACAUGAUGUUCCAUAUAUUAGGGAGUGCCAAUACUUUGUCACAUGCAUUGCAGAAAAAGGAUCAAGAUAUCUUGAAUGCCAUGUCAUGUGUGAACUCAACACGAAAUGAUCUACAACAACUAAGAGAUGAUGCAUGGGAACCACUUCUAGAGAAAGUAUAUUCAUUCUGUGAAGAACAUGACAUUCCUAAGGUAAACAUGCAUGAUGAAUAUGUCGAUCGGCAUAAACCAAGAAAAAGAACCAAUAUUACAAACCUUCAUCAUUACCAAAUAGAGUGCCUUAAUUCUGUUAUUGAUUGGCAACUCCGAGAGUUCGAUGAUAGAUUCAAUGAAGUGAAUUCUGCACUGCUUAUCCACAUGGCUUCUUUCAACCCAAAAAACUCCUUCGCUGCUUGUAACUUGGAGAGUUUAUUGAAGCUAUCUUAG